ACGAAUUCAAAGCAAGAGAUGAAGUGGCUGCAGGAUUUGAAUCCCUAAUUCCAAUGAUAACUGCUAACAAAAAUGUCAAUUGGAUCAACUACAUCUAUUAUAAUCAGCAGCGCUUCGUUAACUACACAAGGGAUGCCCUGCAGGGCCUAGCAGAACAGUUACAAGCCACUACUCAAAUGACAUUUCAGAACAGAAUGGCCCUAGAUAUGAUUUUAGCUGAGAAAGGGGGAGUAUGUAAGAUCCUCCCUGAGACUAUGACAUGUUGCACAUACAUUCCAGACAACACUGGGCCAAAUGGUAAGGUGACUACGGCCAUAGAAAAGCUAGAUAGCCUUUCUGAUGAACUAAAGAAAAAUUCAGGAGUCACUGACACUUGGGACAGAUGGUUUGGGUGGAUGAAUGGUUGGCAAAGGACUCUCUUCCAGGUAGGGACAGCUGUUCUUAUAAUGAUUAUCAUAUUCUUAUUUUUAACCUGUUGCGUGCUCCCUUGCAUACAGAAGUACUUACAGAAAGCGGUAGAUAAGACUAUAGAUGACGUGACCCCUACUUUCCUGCAUCAAGACAUCACAGACCUCAAAGAUGACACUCCACAUACACCCCUCCAAUCACACCAGUUCAAACAGACAACUGCUCUCCUGUAGGGACAGUGUAGGGAAAGCGUCUGUCUUGGCAGGCGAGUCUCACGUGUGGAGAUGUGGUGGACUAGCCGCUGCGGGUUACCCACGGAGUGAAGUGUUCGAUGCUUGUUAAGACAGAUGAGCUGCAGGCAGCUAGGGACAUAUUAGGGACAGUAGCAGUUGUUAUGGUAAAUAGCCAUUUUAGGGGGGACUGUUGUGGAAAUAAGGUCUGCACAUAU
Molecule: long non-coding RNA, 856 nt
Filed under: Pelobates cultripes (western spadefoot toad)
Lineage: Eukaryota; Metazoa; Chordata; Amphibia; Anura; Pelobatidae
Source: RNAcentral